Molecule: ribosomal RNA, 229 nt
Filed under: Pseudomonas sp. SbOxS1
Lineage: Bacteria; Pseudomonadati; Pseudomonadota; Gammaproteobacteria; Pseudomonadales; Pseudomonadaceae
Description: partial 23S ribosomal RNA
Rfam family: Bacterial large subunit ribosomal RNA
Source: RNAcentral
GAUCAAGUGUCUUAAGGGCAAUUGGUGGAUGCCUUGGCAUGCACAGGCGAUGAAGGACGUGAUACGCUGCGAUAAGCGUCGGGGAGGUGCGAAUACCCUUUGAUCCGACGAUUUCCGAAUGGGGAAACCCACCUAAGGUACUUGUAAAAUCAGAGCAGUCGCCAGGCGCAAGUUUGGUGGCUGUUGUGGUUUACAAGUAUCGUUAUUAGGUAACUUACCCUGAAUACAU